This 286-nucleotide unclassified non-coding RNA is filed under the name uncultured fungus. RNAcentral describes it as "partial contains small subunit ribosomal RNA, internal transcribed spacer 1, and 5.8S ribosomal RNA". The stretch from base 1 to 73 matches the Rfam family "Eukaryotic small subunit ribosomal RNA", at positions 1759 to 1831 of the family's 1831-position model. The record is from RNAcentral. Lineage: Eukaryota; Fungi.
GCAAACUUGGUCAUUUAGAGGAAGUAAAAGUCGUAACAAGGUAACCGUAGGUGAACCUGCGGUUGGAUCAUUAACAAGUUUUUUUGGCUCACCCCUAAAAAGGUGAGUCAAUUGACACCUGUGAACUGUAAAAAAUGUUUUUUUUGGGUCUCGCGUAAGGAGAGCAAUCUUUUGUGUGAGGCCCAGAAUAUUUUUUAAACACCUAAAGCCAAUGACUAAAGUUUUUAAAAGAAAAACAACUUUUGACAACGGAUCUCUUGGCUCUCGCAUCGAUGAAGAACGCAGC